GCCUUCCUACGGGAGGCAGCAGUAGGGAAUAUUGCUCAAUGGGGGAAACCCUGAAGCAGCAACGCCGCGUGGAGGAUGAAGGUGUUCGGAUUGUAAAGUCCUUUUGUUAGAGAAGAUAAUGACGGUAUCUAACGAAUAAGCACCGGCUAACUCCGUGCCAGCAGCCGCGGUAAUACGGAGGGUGCAAGCGUUACUCGGAAUCACUGGGCGUAAAGAGCGCGUAGGCGGGAUAGCAAGUCAGAUGUGAAAUUCUAU
Molecule: ribosomal RNA, 255 nt
Filed under: uncultured bacterium
Lineage: Bacteria
Description: partial 16S ribosomal RNA
Rfam family: Bacterial small subunit ribosomal RNA
Source: RNAcentral